GGAAGGAUCAUUACUCUUAAAAACACACACAUACAUUAAAAAAAAACAAACAAAACACGCAGAGAGAGAGAUAAGGGUGAAGUUCUUUUUGACUCAUUGCCACCCUCUGGUUCACUAGAUUCACAAAGAAAACAAUAAGGCGCCAAUGUUAUUCAGAGUGUUUCAUUUUCAAUAGUGAGUUUAGAUGGGUGGGCCCUUUUUGAUGAAAAAAAAUAAAACCCCCUUAAAGUUGGUUUGAUUGAAUGGAAACACGCAUGAAUUAAGUUAUAUAAAGUUUUAUCAGGUAGCGCACACUAUCUGUUUAACUCUUUUAAAAAAAAGAAUUAAUUACAACUUACUAGUGUGGAUGUCUCAGCUCCUCUAACGAGAACGGACGUAGCGAACUGCGAUAUGCUAUGCGAAUUGCAGGAUUCUGUGAGUCAUUGUAUCUCUGAAUGCACACUGCGCCCUUCCUUAAUGGAUAGGGCAUACUUAUUUGAGCUCCAUUUUAAUAAUGCAAAGCAAAAAGUCUGUUUUCUUUUAGAAUCUUUGGAGAGAGAGAAGUAGUCUUUUUUUUUUUUAAAAGACAAUGUCUCUGUUACCCUUUUUUUUUUGAAAGAAUUCUAUUGGGAUCUUAUGAGGUUGUGAUUGUCUCAACUUAGGUUGAUUCUCUCCUUUACCUUAUAUUUCCUUAAAUACUCAUUGUUUACUUUUUUUUUUUUAUAAAGAGAGUGAGCUUUGAGUUUCGGGUAUAUGACCCUCAAUAUGACUUUAUGUUAUACUUGAGACAAGUCAUUACAAUAAAAAAAAGAUUCUCUUUUGAGAUUGAAAUAGGGUCUUUCAAUUCUAUAAUUGAUAGGACUUUGUUCAUUUUCUUUCUCUUCUUUUAGUAAGGGUAUUGAAUAAUUGAGCAAAUCUAAGUCUUGAUUUUGUAGUUAUCUUGUCUGACUUUAAUCUUUCUUUAAAAAAAAGGGGUUUCUUAUUUUCUAAUAAUGGACUCAAAUUAAGUAUGAUAACCCCCUGAAUUUAAGCAUAUAAUUAAGGGGAGGAAAAGAAAUUAACUAAGAUUCCUUUAGUAACUGCGAGUGAAACGGGAAAAGCUCAUGCCGAAUCGGGGGGCUUUAUAGCUCUACUGAGUUGUGGCGUAUCAACUAUUCUUAUUCUGCUUUAACUUGUUCGAAAUUCCUUGGAACAGGAUACCAUAGAGGGUGAUAGUCUCGUAGGACUUGUUAUCAAGUAGAAAUAAAAAGAGUAGAUUGUAGAGUCGAGCUAUUUGGGAGUAUAGCUCUAAUCGGGUGGUAAAACUCCAUCUAAAGCUAAAUACAAAGAGGAGACUGAUAGCGAACAAGUAGCGUGAGCGAAAGAUGAAAAGGACUUUGAAAAGAGAGUCAAAAGAAUCUGAAACACUAGUAAGGUUAAGCGGUCUUUUUGGAUAUAAUACUAAGUUGGUUUAAAUCAAUGGGGAAUACGUAACAUAUUUGUUUAGACAAGUAUUAACUCUCUGAGUUGAUCUUUCUAUCUUAUUUUGCCAAGUAUGACUCAUGCACUUUGGAUCGACUUAAACUAACAUGUCCUAUUCUUAGUGUUGGUAUUGGCUUUUCAUAGUAAAGGUAGCUCUUGGACUUUUAGUUUCAUGAGUGUUACAGUUCUAUGUAAUUACUGUUACCGAUAUUGGAUAGAGGGGGACUAAUAGUCUCUAAAGGAACUAUCUUGGUUUUUCUGCUAUUAGAUUGGCUUUGGUUGCUUUCGCUUGGUUUUUUUAAAUCAAGUUAGGGUGAUCAUUUGUUGUCUAUUUAGUGGUUACUUACUAUAAGAUUCCUUACGGAUGUGUGUUUAACAAUUAAAAUAUUCAAGUGACCGUCCCGUCUUGAAACACGGACCAAGGAGUCUAAUUGAUCUGCAAGUAUUAUGCCAUUUAAAGGCAAAGAUGCGAAAUGAAAGUAAUAAUAAGGGUGGAUUCUUCUUCUUAGGGAGGAGAUGCACACUCAACCAACCUGGGUAUUCGUUAUCUGGUUUGAGUUAGAGCAGAUCGAUUAGGACCCGAAAGAUAGCGAACUAUGCCUGUAUAGGAUGAAGCCAGAAGAAAUUCUGGUGGAAGUCCGUAGCGGUAUUGACGUGCAAAUCAUUCGUCGAAUAUGGGUAUAGCGGCAAAAGACUAAUCGAGCUAUCUAGUAGCUGGUUCCUUC
Molecule: unclassified non-coding RNA, 2165 nt
Filed under: uncultured fungus
Lineage: Eukaryota; Fungi
Description: sequence contains 18S rRNA gene, ITS1, 5.8S rRNA gene, ITS2, 28S rRNA gene
Rfam family: Eukaryotic large subunit ribosomal RNA (bases 973-2165)
Source: RNAcentral